Molecule: unclassified non-coding RNA, 699 nt
Filed under: Hevea brasiliensis (rubber tree)
Lineage: Eukaryota; Viridiplantae; Streptophyta; Magnoliopsida; Malpighiales; Euphorbiaceae
Source: RNAcentral
CUUAAAACCCUAAAAUCUAAAAAACCCUACAUUAAAAAUACAUCCCUGCAAGUACCAGUACUUUUUCUUCUUUUCAAACUCAUUCACUUCUUCCAAGUGGUAGGUUCCAUCACUACUACUACUACUUCUGCUACCACAACUCACACCCGCACGCUUUCUUUCUUCCCCAAUUCUCCUUCGCAUUUUCCCACCUUCCAAACACAAUUUCGAACAACCCUUUCUCCGUAUCACAAACUGGAAGAGAAACGCGAUAAUGGACUCGAGAGAAUCGCAGCCGCUAUCGCAUAUAUCACCGCAUCCACAACACCACCACCAUCACCAACCGCAACCAAACAUAUUACUCGGCGGCCCCACCUCCUCUUACUCCAACACUAGCGCCGCUCACGCUGCAAUGAGUAUGAUCAACCCCAACAUCCCUUCCACUGCUGCCGCUGGUUUCCCUUUUAAUUCAGUGGGCCCGCCACGCCCACAAUCUAAGCCUCUCUCUUCGGAUGGUGUUCUUGAUGGAUCAUCACCGCCUUCUUCAACGGGGAUGAGGUUUAGUAUGGAGCCGGCGAAGAAGAAGCGAGGGAGGCCCAGGAAGUACACCCCUGAUGGCAACAUUGCAUUGGGGUUGUCGCCAACCCCGAUUUCUUCUUCCCCAAAUUCAUUAGUCCAUGCCGAUUCUGGGGUUGGCACCCCUGGCGUGGCCUCUGAGCC